AGUUUCCGGGCUUGCUCGGAAAUUAGUGGCGAACGGCUGAGUAUCGCGUAGGUGACCUACCCCGUAGUGUGGAAUAACUGCCCGAAAGGGUAGCUAAUACCGCAUGUUGAGCCGACAUCACUGUCGUCUCCAAAGCAGAAAUGCGCUAUGGGCGGGGCCUGCGUUCGAUUAGCUAGUUGGUGGGGUAAUGGCUCACCAAGGCGACGAUCGAUAGGUGGUCUGAGAGGACGAUCACCCAGACUGGGACUGAGACACGGCCCAGACUCCUACGGGAGGCAGCAGUCGGGAAUUUUGCGCAAUGGGGGAAACCCUGACGCAGCAAUACCGCGUGUGGGAUGAAGGCCUUCGGGUCGUAAACCACUUUUUUCGGGGACGAUAAUGACGGUACCCGAAGAAUAAGCCACGGCUAACUACGUGCCAGCAGCCGCGGUAAUACGUAGGUGGCAAGCGUUGUCCGGAUUUACCGGGCGUAAAGCGCGCGCAGGCGGUGAAUGAAGUCGAAAGUGAAAGCCCCGGGCUCAACUCGGGAACUGCUUUCGAAACCAGUCCACUUGAAGGCGGAAGAGGGAAGUGGAAUUCCGAGUGUAGUGGUGGAAUGCGUAGAUAUUCGGAAGAACACCAGAGGCGAAGGCGACUUCCUGGUCCGAUCUUGACGCUGAGGCGCGAAAGCUAGGGGAGCAAACGGGAUUAGAUACCCCGGUAGUCCUAGCUGUAAACGAUGGAUACUAGGUGUUGGAGGUUUUAACCCCUCCGGUGCCGCAGCUAACGCAUUAAGUAUCCCGCCUGGGGAGUACGGCCGCAAGGCUAAAACUCAAAGGAAUUGACGGGGCCCCGCACAAGCAGCGGAGCGUGGGGUUUAAUUCGAUGAUACGCGAANAACCUUACCANGGCUUGACNUGCACNUGACCGCGGCG
RNAcentral lists this ribosomal RNA (914 nucleotides) under uncultured bacterium. Its description in RNAcentral is "bacterial SSU rRNA". It matches the Rfam family "Bacterial small subunit ribosomal RNA", at positions 69 to 1003 of the family's 1533-position model. The record is from RNAcentral.